RNAcentral lists this unclassified non-coding RNA (340 nucleotides) under soil metagenome. RNAcentral describes it as "partial contains 5.8S ribosomal RNA, internal transcribed spacer 2, and large subunit ribosomal RNA". The stretch from base 1 to 120 matches the Rfam family "5.8S ribosomal RNA", at positions 35 to 154 of the family's 154-position model. The record is from RNAcentral.
GAUGAAGAACGUAGUGAAAUGCGAUAAGUAGUGUGAAUUGCAGAAUUCAGUGAAUCAUCGAAUCUUUGAACGCACAUUGCGCCCCUCGGUAUUCCGUGGGGCACGCCUGUUCGAGCGUCAUUUACACCCUCAAGCGCAGCUUGGUGUUGGGCGUCUGUCCCGCUCUCCGUAGCGCGGACUCGCCUCAAAGUCAUUGGCGGCGGUCGUGCCGGCUCCUCGCGCAGCACAUUUGCGCUUCUCGGAGGCCCGGCGGAUCGGCAUCCAGCAAGCUACUUUUUAUGACUUGACCUCGGAUCAGGUGAGGAUACCCGCUGAACUUAAGCAUAUCAAAAGCGGAGGA